GGCUUUAUAGUAUAAUAAAAUAUAUUAGAUUGCAAAUUUAAAGACGUGUAAUAUUACACUAAAGCUU
Molecule: transfer RNA, 67 nt
Filed under: Latreillia valida
Lineage: Eukaryota; Metazoa; Arthropoda; Malacostraca; Decapoda; Latreilliidae
Description: tRNA-Cys
Rfam family: tRNA
About the family: Transfer RNA (tRNA) molecules are approximately 80 nucleotides in length.
Source: RNAcentral